ACGGGGUGCAGCAGGCGCGAAACCUUUACACCGCACGACAGUGCGAUAGGGGGAUCCCAAGUGCACAGGCAUAGCGCCUGUGCUUUUCGGUACCCUAAGGCGGUACCAGAAUAAGGGCUGGGCAAGACCGGUGCCAGCCGCCGCGGUAAUACCGGCAGCCCAAGUGAUGGCCGAUCUUAUUGGGCCUAAAGCGUCCGUAGCUGGCCGCGCAAGUCCAUCGGGAAAUCCACCUGCUCAACAGGUGGGCGCCCGGUAGAAACUGCGUGGCUUGGGACCGGAAGGCGCGACGGGUACGUCCGGGGUAGGAGUGAAAUCCCGUAAUCCUGGACGGACCGCCGAUGGCGAAAGCACGUCGCGAGAACGGAUCCGACAGUGAGGGACGAAAGCCAGGGUCUCGAACCGGAUUAGAUACCCGUGUAGUCC
RNAcentral lists this ribosomal RNA (423 nucleotides) under uncultured archaeon. RNAcentral describes it as "bacterial SSU rRNA". It matches the Rfam family "Archaeal small subunit ribosomal RNA", at positions 325 to 747 of the family's 1478-position model. The record is from RNAcentral.